AUCAUCUAGCAUCUCUAGUGUGAGGAAUUGCAAAGCUCUUUCAGGUAUAAAUCUAAGAAUACAUGCACAUCAGACUCAGGUAAUUUUUUUCUCAUUUUCAUAUUUUAACAACUGUUAAAACUGCAUCAUAUAUUUCUUGUCUUCUGACUUACUUCAUGUAUUACUUGUCCUCCACUAGAAACAGG
Molecule: long non-coding RNA, 185 nt
Filed under: Monodelphis domestica (gray short-tailed opossum)
Lineage: Eukaryota; Metazoa; Chordata; Mammalia; Didelphimorphia; Didelphidae
Description: lncRNA (ENSMODG00000048015.1)
Source: RNAcentral